RNAcentral lists this long non-coding RNA (1332 nucleotides) under Marmota monax (woodchuck). The record is from RNAcentral. Lineage: Eukaryota; Metazoa; Chordata; Mammalia; Rodentia; Sciuridae.
GUUACUACCAAAGCUAGAAUUAGAUCCUAGGCUUCAAAAUCCUAGUUUAAUAUUUUUCCUUUGACUACUCACCUCAGAUUUGUAGAUGUUUAUGUAAAUAUUAAUUGGAUAAAGCAGCAUUGUUUUUAAUAAUCAAAAAGUGGAAACAACCUGAUAUUCAUCAAAUGAAAAAUGGAUUAAAUAAAUGUGAUAUAUCCAUUUGUCACAUUCACAGAGCAGUUGUGCCAGGGCAGUGGGGUAGAUUGCUGGAAAGGCCAAACAAAGUGCUCAGAGAUGGCAUGCAACAUAGGAUUAAUUGGAGAAAGCUUACAAGAGAUCAGUGACUGCCCCAAGAAGUGUUCAGUGGUGACAGACUAAGCAGCCUCUUGUCCCUUAGAGUUUCACCAAGUAGUGCUUUGUGUCUCUCAGGAACUUUUUCCAGUGGCAGCAGGCUGAACAAGCAACUGUAUCCUCUCCACAGUGUCUUGGGUUCUUCACUCAUCACCUGAGGGUUUUGUAUGUCAGAUUGCAGAAGCAGUGACAUCAUGAACAUUAGCUUGCUCACUUUGCUUGUCUGAGCAUUUUGGAGCACUUGUCCUGGAAAACAUGCAAGGAAGUAGCUUUCUAUGGAUAACACUUAACUUGCCCUAGUUCUCAGCGUCCCUCAAGAUGAUUUGUAUCUGGACUUUCUGACACAGACUUUCUCUUGUGCUCUUAACUUGGCUAGGAUUUUGGCAACAAAAAGGGGUCAUUCAGGGACAUGGUGUUUUACUGUUCCCGUUUCUUUAGGGGCAGUACACCAGUAAAUAGGAGUGAAGUACUAGAAGAGAAUUCUGUGAAGAUGGUGAAGUCGGUAGCACCUAUCUCCUCACCUAGAAGUGGUCAUAGUAGCAGAAUCUCUCUCCUGUGACUAUUCUGGAACUCUGAAGUCUACUAAGAGCUUGCAACCUCUAAGGGAAUGAAGUACUGAUAGUACAAUAUGGAUGAACCUCAAUAACAAAUAUGAUGUUAUAUGAAAGGAGUGAGUCAGAAAGGACCACAUAUUGUAUACUUCCCUUUAUAUAAAAUAUCUUGAAUAGGCAAAUCUAUAGAGACAGAAAAUAGAUAAGUGAUUGCUUUGGGCUGAAGCAGGGGAGUUGUUGGAGGGAAAUGGGUGGAUGAUUACUAGAAGGUGAAUCGAAUGGCAUAUGAAUUAUGUGUCAACCAAAAAGAUCUUACAAAAAAUUAAUGAAGAGUAGACCAAUGAUAACAGGAGAAUUGAAAAUAUAAAAAAAUUAGUUUUCCAAAACUGAUUAACAUACAGUUUCUAUUUCAACUUGUGAAAUAUUUUUUAAUUUCUAAGUCUAGUUUCCC